AUACGGAGGAUGCAAGCGUUAUCCGGAUUUAUUGGGUUUAAAGGGUGCGUAGGCUGUUCGACAAGUCAGGGGUGAAAGCCCGGCGCCUAACGCCGGAACUGCCUUUGAUACUGCCGAGCUGGACUACGGAUGCCGUGGGAGGAAUGAGUAGUGUAGCGGUGAAAUGCAUAGAUAUUACUCAGAACACCGAUUGCGAAGGCAUCUCACGAAUCCGUCAUUGACGCUGAGGCACGAAAGCGUGGGGAUCAAACAGGAUUAGAUACCCUGGUAGUCCACGCAGUAAACGAUGAUGACUAACCGUCGGCGAUACACAGUCGGUGGCCAAGCGAAAGCGAUGAGUCAUCCACCUGGGGAGUACGUUCGCAAGAAUGAAACUCAAAUGAAUUGACGGGG
RNAcentral lists this ribosomal RNA (393 nucleotides) under uncultured bacterium. Its description in RNAcentral is "partial 16S ribosomal RNA". It matches the Rfam family "Bacterial small subunit ribosomal RNA", at positions 523 to 918 of the family's 1533-position model. The record is from RNAcentral.